AAUUUAGAAAAAAAGUUAGCAAAUAUAGGAAUCUAAAAAAACCAAUAAAAAUGUAAAAUAAAAAUUGUAACUUACCAUGAUCUUGCUAAGCUGUUGUUUAUCCUCUUUCUACACUCUUAACAUCAACAAUAGAAACAAAAACAAGUAGCAAUAGGAAUUUGCCACAGUCACUAUAGACAUGGAGCCUCCAAAUAUAAAACCCGAAUCCCCUUCGACAAGAAGAAAAAUACUUAUACUCUGACACCUGGGACAUGCACCUUUUAAACCUGCAAACUCCAAAAGAAGAGAUAUGGUUUCAUCAAAUCAAAAAUUUGAGAAACUAAAGCAAAACCAUUUUGUUUCUGCUCAAAUUUGUACAACUAGGCAUAUGUAAAUGUGACAGUAGCUCACAUUUUGGAAACCAAGUGGGAUAUAUUAGAAUAGAUACAAGCUGCUGUUGUUGCUAUGUAAUAAUUCCAUUAGGUAGUUCUGGGCUAUCGCAGUCACAGAGAAAAUACCACUUGGGAUAAAUUGAAAACCAGUUCUUGUGAAAGACAAGUUUCAUGCACUGAAUGGUUCCCAACUUUCAAAGGAAAUAAAAGAUCAUACAACCUUAUGAGCGGCUUCCCCAGGAGGGCAAGAAGAGGUUCUUAUUUAUUAAAGAUGCAAAUGAAAUCUUGAUUCAGAGGACCUCUGUAAAGCACUGAAGAAUCUAUCACAAGUCAUAAAAGGAAGAAAAUUUUACAAAAAUAGUCCUUAGAACACAAUAAUAUAUAGAAUCAACUAUAUAAAUGAAAGUCACGCACCACAAUUUUGCUAGAUUGUAUUUUAUCCUCUUUUAGUCGUACUAAAAAAUGGUAAUAAAGUGCCAAUGAGCCUUUGAUAUAGGAUGAACAUUCCAAUCAGUUAGCACAAUGAAAAGACCACAUGACCUCCUGUGAUACUUUGCACCCAUCCUUUUGACACCUGCAUCAUCAAUGUAAACAAUUUGGUACAUAAAACUGUAAGACUUAUUAUUACCGUUCAGAGGUAGCCGAGUUAAAUGGCAACAAAUUGCAAAUAUAUGUAUGGGAAAUAGAAAGUGAUAUUGAGGAGAGAAAGAGGAAGAAUUGCAUGUUGGGAAUGAGCAUCCAGUGGACAAGAAGAAAAUUCAAGAAAAUUAGUCAUCAAAAUAGAAAAAUAAAUAAACAAAAUAUAUAGAUGACGGUGACUCACUGUAGUCUUGCUGGGUUAUUCUUUGUCCCCUGUUGACACUCAAAAAAAAUAAAAAAAAGAGCAACAGGGGACAACUGGAACUAGCUGCAUUCACUCCAUACUUUGAAGUCUUUGAUAUAAUACCUAGAGUUCCAUCCUCUUUGAGAACCUGCAUCAUAAAUGUAAAAAUUUAAUAACCAGAUGACAAGACACUGGAUAGUAGCUAUGAUGACAUCUAAUAAGUUGAACUAAAAAAAUCAUGGCUGCACAGGGGAAUUGAUAAAGCCAUCUAAUUACCAUAGCAAUCGAACUUUAAUAAACUGCAUUUGCUUCUAGUAUAGCCUCCUCUGUAUGUCAGCCUGAACUCUAUUCUGGAAAUCAGAAAAUUAUACUUAAAAAAUGCAAUUGAAUAGUACAACUGAUGGAAUAAAAAUCAGAAGACAUUGCUAACCAGUGGCUAUUGCUAAAUAUUCCACCUGCCCUUGAAUGGCAUAAAUGGAUCCUCUCUUAUCCUUUUUAUCGUUGUAAGUAUCACAUAUCACCUCUUCAACUUCAAUGGUCACUGAGAACUAAAAAGAACAAAGGAAAAAGGAAAAGUGUGUACCCCAUGGAGAUUAUGGACAAGAUUUACUAAAUAGAAUUGGAGAGGCAGAGGCAGUGAUGCAUACCUAGAAUUGUGUCAAAUUGAAGAGAAAACCAAGCUACAAGCCAUUUCAAAAGCCACUUCCUAGGCAAAUUUUUAACAAAAAGUCUAGUAAGAAACGUACAAGUAAUCAAUUGGGGAAAUUGCUAUAAUGUAUAUGAGAGAUUGAACGCGGUAUUGAGGAGUGAAAGAUAAAGAACAGGCGUACCUUGUUUAAUGUAAAGAUGGGAGAGGGUUGAAUGGUGUUUGCUUCUAUGUUCUGCAAUCCCUCAACUUAUUAUUGCUCAAAGACGUUUUUAUCAUCUAUUUCCACAUAGGGAAUGUGGGCGAUGUUGGGCCAAUCUUGCCCUUUCCCUUUCGAGCACCUUUGUUUUAGGAGCGGGCAGUCUGUGAUAUAUAGUCGUGAAAGCGUGUCAGGCAGCCCUUCCCUUGGGCAAAACGACUGAAGCUUAGGGCAACGUUGGAUCCAUAGAUCUUCAAGUGAGGUGAGGGUUUGGAGAGCCAGGGAGGAUAGAGAUUUCAGAUUCUGGAAAUCUUGAAUGGAAAGAAAGGUGAGGGUUGUAGGAAGAAUCGGUGGUCUUUGACCAUCUGAAAAGGAGGCAACUCGUGGAAAUAUGCCACCAAUGGUGAGUUCUUUAAGAGAGGUAAGUGUGGCAAGGCCCCAUCGGGAUAGGGGCAUCUUGAUAUUCUCACAACGGUAGAUACCAAGUGAUGUAAGAGCAGUGAGGUUUUGCAGUUGAUGAGGUAGCAGCUCCACAUUCUCACAAUUAUUAAUCUCCAGUUCUCUGAGUUUGUAGAGGCAAUCUGGUACAAUUUUGAGACAGGGAUACGACCGGAUACUCAAAUAUUCAAGUGAACUAUUAUUGGAGUGAAACGUCUCCUUUGAAAUCGACUCCAGUUGUGCACAAUCCCAAAUCUCAAGUUUCUUAAGGGUGGAGGGAAACUUGCCUGUGGGGAAGAAUGUGAGAGAUGGACAUUUCCAAAUGUCCAAGACAUGAAGACCACCACUGGUGGCGGUGGUGGUGUUGGAAUCAUGGUGCAUCAUUCCCCCCGGUAGAGACUCUAGCUUUUCACACCUCCAUAUCUUGAGUUCCUUGAGCGUGGUGGGUAACUCACCUUCUGGAAAACCAAUGAGAGAUGGACACGUAUGUAUGUGCAAGUAUUCAAGGAGACACACGUCGCUACCGUUAUUACUACCGUCUUUCAUCACCAUCAUCCAAUCAGGUAGACAUCGUAGACCUUCACAACUAUGAAUAACAAGACGUCUAAGCAUGGGCGGGAACCCCAACUCUGGAAAUGACACCAGCUUUGGACAAUCAUAGAUUUCCAACUCUCCAAGACAUGUUAGCCUGUACAGUCCAUUGGGAAGCUUCUCUAGGUUAUUACACCACCUAAUUUUCAAAGAUUGAAGCUUGCUAGGCAGCUCGUGCUUUUCCUUUUCUCCCAAGGAUACAAGCUCGGGACAACUGCUAGUUUGCAACUGCUGAAUACCAUCAAAUCCAUUUUCCCACAAACACGUCAAUUUAUCACAUCUAUCAAUGUCUAAAACUUGAAGCCCCGACAACAAUUGCAUACAACCUUCAUGUAAUCUGGUGAGCCCUACCAUUCUAUCAAUUCCUAACUCGGUGAGUGAAGGCAAUUCCAAUCCACUCCUUAGUACCGCCUCAUUGCAAUCUUGUACUCUUAAUUUAGAAAGAGAUGGAAGCCUUUCAAGUGGAGACACCAACUGUGGGCAUGUCCCAAUGGAGAAAUGUACAAGGGACGGUAGGUUAGUGGGUAGUUUCUUGAUUAAUUUGGGGCAAUUUAUGAUUUCAAGGUGAAGGAGACAAGGAUAUGGCUCUGAUAAAGAUGGACUCUCCCAAUCUUCCCAUUGUGACAUAGCCGAAAAAGAUAGAGACUCUAAGGACGGGAAAGGCUUAUUGGGAAGACAAGUCUCUCCAUAAAACUCUCUACCCACAAUUUUUACUUCUUUUAACCCUUCAAUCCUUACGUGUUUGAGCAUGGGUAACCACCCCAAACACGGUAAAGAUGUGCAAUUUCUGCAAUUCACCAGAUUUACAUCCACCAUCUUCGAGAAUGAAACAUCUCCUAUCCAAGGGGGAAAUUCUGGACCACCAUAAUACUCAAUUUUUAGUUUGUUCAAAUUGAAGUGUGGCUGUAAAGAGUCAAGUACAUCUUUUUGAUUCCUUGCAUUGUGUGAAUCAUUCAACCCAGCACUCCACUCUAUCGUCAAUUCUUCAAGCUUCUGCUUCUUGUUUAGACUAGCAUCCCUUGCAUCUUGAACAUUUGCUACAUUUUCCAACUUUGAAAUGCAAAGUCCCCCUUGAAGUUGGGGCAUAUUCCUUAACUCCUUUACAUUCAAACCAUUGUCUUUACCCACAAUAAAAUUAGACAAUACUUGUAAGCCUUUUAAUUUGCAAAUUCGUGGAGGCAUUUCUUCUAGAUUUGUAUUGGUCACAUCAAGGUGUCGAAGAUUAUUUAGGUUUCCAAUGCUCAAAGGCAACCUAAUAAGCUUCCGACAAUUUGAUAAUAUUAAUGUCUCUAAGUUAUGGAGGUUACCCAGUGAAUCAGGUAAUCGUUUGACUUUUGUUCUGGAUAAAUUAAGAUACCUAAGGUGUUUCAAAUCACCAACUGAACUUGGUAUCUCACUUAUCCGAUAACCACUCAAUAAAAGCACCCUUAGGCGUCGUAGCUUGGGCAUCAAUCCCUCAAGUACCUUGUUGCUUAACCAAUUAUAAUCCCAUAAUGGAUCAAUUGGUAAUGCAAUAAACGUACGCAAAUUCUCCAUCCCAUAAAAGGCUUCAAACUUUUUGAAGAUAUCGUAUCGGUCACGAAUGAAUGAUGAAUGACGAGCCUUUUUAGAAAUAGUCUGCUGCUGAUUACCUUCCAAAUUCUUUUCCAGAGAAAAACAUAUUUCUCCACCAACAAAUUUUGCUAAAUCGUUAACGAGAUCAUGCAUUACGAAUUGGGAUUUAUUGCUACUUGAUGGUUGAAAAAAUGAUCGAGACAACAAUUCCUGGAAGUAGUUAGCGCCUAAAUCUUCAAUUUCGAUUUGUUGCCUAUGACAUUCUAAGUGUUGAAUUAGACUCUCUGCCAUCCAUAAGCGAAUCAGUUCUCUCUUAUCAAAUUCAUAGUCUUUCGGAAAUAUUGCACAAUAACUGAAACAUCUCUUCAGUGGAGAGGGGAGGUGAUUAUAACUUAAUCUUAAUGCAGGAAGAAUACCGCAUUUAUCACUCGGUAAAUCCCAUAUUUUGCUAGUCAAAAUAACAUUCCACUCAUGUUCUCUCUGUUCAUGGCGUAGAAGACUACCGAGUGCUGUUGCUGCCAAAGGCAAGCCUCCACACUUUUUUACAAUUUCCUUGCCGAUCAAUGCCAAAUUGGAAUGCUCAUCAAUGUUGCUAUUUCCAAAUGCAUGUUUCUUGAACACCGACCAACACUCAUUAUCUGAUAAAUUUUGUAGCUCGUGCAAGUUCUUAUCUCCUUCCAUUAUAUUUGCGACCUUCUUACUCCGUGUCGUGACUAUGAUUUUGCUGCCUCGUGAACCCGACAAAAAGGGAGACUGUAAGCAACGCCAAUCAUUAUAGUUGUCAUUCCACAUAUCAUCGAGAACCAGAAGAAAUUUUUUUCCCUUCAAUUCCUCCCCCAAUUUAUCUUGAAUUUGAUGGAAGUCUAGUGAAUCAGUAUUGCUCUGAGAAGUACUGACCGAGUUGAGGAUUGUCUUGGUUAUUCUCACUGCAUCGAACUGAUCUGAUACACAAACCCAGGCCUUUAGAUCAAAAUGCUUGGCUGUCUCAGGAUGAUCGUACACCAACCUUGCUAGUGUGGUCUUGCCCAUACCACCCAUGGCCACGAUGGAAACUACAGAAACAUUGGUUUCAAUGGGCUCAUCCCUAAGCAGCAUAUCCAUUAUAAUCUGUUUAUCAGCAUCCCUGCCAUAAACCCAAGGUUCGUAUACCAGAGAUGUAGUGAGUGGCCUUUCCCAAGUAGACUGGGUUAUAGCAGCCACCUUGUCCAAACCAAGCCCAGCCUUUUGGGCAUAUAUAGCUUCUAAUCGGGUGGUAAUGUCCUUUAUCUCGCACCCCAUCUUAACAUUACGCAUACAACCAAUAGGAGUGAAAGUAGUACAACAAGUAGGGAUAAACUUGCGUACCUUGCUUGUGCUGCCUUCACCAUCAGCUUCCGCCAUCACCUUUCUUCUUAAAGCUUCGUAGGCAAACUCGUCCAAGAUGUCCUCCAUGUCAUAAACCAAAUCCCUCAGAUCGCCCAGCCACGUUUUCACCGACUGCUUCGUGAUCUGCUUCUCCUCCGCGUCAUUCAGCACUUCAUCAAUCUCCAAUAAUUUUUUCUCCCAUAUUUCGAGCUCGGCGCGGAUUUUCUCUUGGCGUGCAAACUUGAGAUCAGGGGAGCGCAGUUGGUUAAACAAAGCUUGAAGGGAGUAAGAAAGAACAACCUCUGCAACAACUUCCAUGGUUCGUUGGUAGGGAAAGAGAGAGGUAGGAUACCAAGUGGAAACAAGAGAAUAAAAAACAAUUGGUUUGCUCUAUCAAGGCUUCCCCAAUUAUCAAAGACAGUGGACUCUGCUCCUUCAGAGUGGUGGGGCUCACACGUAAAGAAGAAGAAACUAAGGGAAAAGAAGGAAUCCAAGGCAACUGGUGCUAAGUGGAGCCAUUGGAGAGAUAAUUAUUCAAGUCUUGGACCACUCUCCAAUUUCCCACUACACUGGUUUUAGGGGUGGGUGACAUACUCACAUGAAGUGACAGAAAGCAGGGCCCUCUAAUUCAAAGUUUAUUUUACUAUUAAAUAAAUAAAUAAAAAAGUCAUUUUCUUAAAACCCUUCUACAAUUUUCUGACAAAGCAAAUGACUUCUGUAAGCAGGAUACCAUUCUUGUGAAUGGGAAAAGGAAGAAGGUUGAAGGAAGAAGAGUAAACAAGUUUUCCCUUUAUUUUAUAUAGAUUGGUGAUUAGGCUGAAGUAGAGAUACCUUGCUACCUCGCUGCAUCUUCAAACGAUAAUGUUGAUUAAAGAUGAAUUGAAAGCCAUGCUUUGCCUGCGAAGUUUGAUUAGAGAGGAAUCUCUAAAUCAAAUUUUGUGAAACAAUUGGUUUGCUUGCUGUAUCAAGGCUUAGCCAAUUAUCAAAGACUGAAGGUAAGAGAUAAGGAGUUGAAGGCAACAGCUGGCAAGCUGGCAAGUGGAUCCAUUGGACAUGAUUUGAUUAUUCAAGUCUUGGACCACCCUGCAAUUUUCCACACCGCACUGGGUGGUGGGUCAGAGAGUUAAGGAUAACGUCAGAAAACCAAACAUGAAGCGACGGAAAGCAGGGCCCCUGUACGAAAAUAUUACUCUGCAACAAUCAAAAUAAUCAAAGAAUCAUGCAUUGAAAAAUUGCAAGCUAAUGUUGUUAAAUUUUAAAAAAUAUGAAUUCAGAAAUUAUUUGUAAAUAUUUAGAAAUUGCUAAUGUUGGCUUUAGUUCAAUUUCACAAAAAUAGAAUCAUGCAUUGAAAAAUUGAUUUGAAGUUGAAGUUUUACAAUUUCCUUAUUUAUUUUCUAGGAGUUCAUAUAGGAAUAAGUUACAAAUACAUGGGAGGAACUUACAAAGAUGUAAACAAGUAAUUAGGUUAAGGACUCCACUUCCAAGCAGGCCAUGUGCUUUUAAGGAUAGAAAAAAAAUUGUUUAACACAUUAAUAAGAACAAAUAAUUUAAUGUUUAAGAAUAUUAAAAUAUGAAUAAAAAUAAACAAUUUAAUCUUAGCCAGAUUGUGUUCUAUUUAAAAUUCAAUAAAAAUCUAUUUAAAUUUAAGAUAGAGAAACAAACUAGAUAUAAUUUUUUCACUUCUUAUAUUUUAAAAUAUUUUUUAAUUAAGCAUUCUUAAUAAUAUUUUUAUUUCUUAUAAAAAAAGUUAUAAUUAUUUCAUGGAUGAUUAUUAACUUUUUUUUUUAAGAGAAAGAUAUAUCGUUGAAAUAGUUUUUAAGAAAAGACAAUGAAAUAGAAUCUGAAAGUUGAAUUAUUGAAAAUAUUGUAACCUCUAAAGAUAAAAUGAAAAUACUAAAACAUUGAGUGAUGAAAUUUAGGUUAUUGAAUAAAAAUAUAAAUAAAUUAGAUCAAAAUAUAAAAAUACAAAUAAUCGAGACAUAUGUGAUGCGUGAGACAUGCUAAAUAAAAAAUUUUGCUCCCACAAUUUCUAUAAUAUUAAAAGAAAGUCAAUUUUUUAAUAAUCUCUUUCCAUCUUUUGGUACACGCAAUAGAAUAAAAUAUAACCAUAAUUCUAUACAUUUCUUUCACGGGAAAAAAAGAAGGAAAAAACUUGGGGUGCUGGCACAUUGGGUGUCCACAAGUGGACCUUGUAUUCAAUUAUUGGUAAGAGAUGGCCCGGAUAGGUGGCAAUUAUUGGGGCUCUUUUACUUAAUAGAAUAGAUUUAUAAAAUAAUUUUAAAAAUGACUUCAAAAAGUAUAUUGAAGUCUAUGAUAAUUGUUAAAUGUUGUCGAUUUGAUUUUACUUCUAAUAAGAAAUCUUUUUUAUUUUAGUAUGGAAACUUUUUAAAACAGUGAUUUACUUCCAUUGAUUUAAUGAUAUUAUUAAAUUAAAUUUAAAAAGAUUUGUUAAAAGUAAGUUUUUUUAUUAAGGUAGAGUUGGAUUCGAAGUUUUAAAAUUAAGUUAAAAUAUCUUAAUUAAUUUUUGACAAUUUUGAGGUUUUAUUUUAAAAAAAUUUCUUAAUUAAUUUAUAGAAAAUUAAUAUUUUACUUUUUAAACAAAAAUUAUUUUGUUAAUUAAUUUUUGAAAAUUUGAUUUUUUUUUUUUAAGAAAUUCAAUUUCAAACCAUCUAGGCUCUUAGGCCUAUAUAUAUUAUCUAAAUGUGUUUUUGGGUUGGAUGCUUUAAUAAAAUUAACCUCAACUUGCUCUAUCAUUCAUAAACUCUCAACAAAGAAUUCACUAAUCAAAUCCCAUAGUUUUUUAUUUCCAUAAUUAAUAUGAUGAUUUUCCACAUAAAAUUGAUUGUCUUGUAUGUAAUUGUGAUUUUAUUAUUUAUAUGGAUAUGUGAAAUUGACAAUAUUGCCCCUAGCCUCAAGCAUAGGGUGUUACAAACAUCCUUAUUUAUCGACUCUCAACAUGAUUAUACUUUUCAUAGUAACUUAGCAUGAAAAUCUUUCAAUUGUCAUAUUCUAACAUUAUCUAUAAGUUUCUUGAGUAUUGAAAUUGACAAUGCUUUUGUGAAUAAGUUUGUUAAAUUAUCAUUUGAUACUUUCUGAAUACUAAUUUUAUUACUCUUGUGGAGUUUAUGAAUAUAAAAGAACUUGAAUGAUAUAUGGUUACUUUAGUUUGAGUUUUCCUCUUUUUAUCAUUAUGGCCUAUAUGAUUCUUAUUGAUCUAAAAAUUAAAUUUAAAAAAUUAGGCAAGAGAUUAACCUACUUACAAUUUAUUAAGCCUGAGUCACUAAAAUUAGUCAAUUAAAUUAGUUUGUUAUCUUUUUCUUUUUAUAAUAAUAGUUGGCAAGGUUCUUAUCUAUAUCAAGAUUAACUUAACUAUUAGGUAAGGCUUAAGAGAACUUACUUGCAAUUAUUAAAUUUGAGUUAAUAAAAUUAAUCAAUAGAAUUAACUCGUCGUCUUUUUGUUUUUAUAAUUGUGGCCGACUUAGUUCUUAUCAAUAUGAAGAUUAAAUUAAAAGAUUAGGUAACGGCACCCACUUGCAAUUUAUUAAACUCGAUUAAGCAAAAGUAGCUUCACUUAUUUCUCUUUUUAUGAUUAUGGUCAGCAAGGUUCUCAUCAACAUCAAGAUUAAUUUAAAAGAUUAUGUAAGGGAACCUAUUUGCAACUUGUUAAAUUUGACUCAUUCAAAAGGUUAGUCAAGCAAAUACACUUGCAAUAAUUUACAAUCAAAAUCCACUUUAAAAUAAUAAAUAUAAGCUAUCUUUUUUUGGUUGCAUUGAACUUAUUGAUAAUUAGAUUUAAACAUAAUUAAUAUAAUUAUUUAAGUAUUAAUUAAGUUUUCAAAACUAAUUAAAAUUUAAACAUCACUAAUUAAAUGAAAUAGUAUAAAAUUUAAUUAAUUAUUAUAUAUAUAAAAUAAACUUUAAUUAUCUAAUUAAAAUUAUUAAAUACUUAAGUAUUACCAUGCCUAAGAAUUAAAAGAACUUUUCAUUUUUUCAAGGCAUAAAAAAAUAACAAAGGAAAAAUCUUGAUUCAAAUAAAUAAAUAAUUCCAUGGAAAAUAUAGAAAUGAAAAUAAUAUUUAUAUUGUGUAAUACUAUAUUGCAGUAGUCUACAAUUUAUCAGUCUUAUUUGGAUUGAUUUUUAAGAAGUCAAAAGUUCUUUUAUAAGCUCAAGAAGGACUUCUAUGUCUCUUUAAUUAAUUUUAUUUGAAUGGCUAAUGGUUUAAAAAGAAGAUAUGAAAACUACAUAUAUUUUUUUUUAUACUUUUUAUAAAGGUGCAUAGCACCUCAUGCUAAUAAUUUUGUAUAACAAAAUAAAUAUUUCAAAGGCACCUCCAAUUACCUAGAAAAUGAAUUUUCAAUUUAUCAAAUACUUAAUUUUUGUAACAAAGAUGUUUUUGAGCAUUAUCGAACAUUUCUAACUUUUCUAAAAUCAUGACCAAAUGACUCAUAAUCUUUUCGAAUACUAAAACAUUCAUCAAAUUAUUUUGUUAUGAGCUUUUUAUUUUAAUUAAAAGGUUAAAAUAAACACUAACUUUAUUAAUUUUAUGUUCCAAAAUAAGUUUCUUUGAAAGCUUGUAAUGUAAAUUGAUUAAUGAAUUUCAGUUAUGAAUGAUCUCGGGGAGUUUGAAUUAGAAAUUUUGAGAUAACACUUUUUUUUAAUUGUUUAUGAUUAAAUAUGUAUCAAAUAAACGUACAAAACUGAAAAGACUUUAGAGGGUGAUGAUAAAUCAAUUUAAUGACUUAAUUUAAGUUAUUAAAUAUAUUAAGCAUGUUUGAUAAAAUAAUAAAGUUAAAAAUGAUUAUGAGAAAUCAUCUUAACAAUUAAGACUCCAUGACUUAAAUACAAUUAAUUUAACUUAAAGUCAUCUUACCCCGAUAAAUAUCAAGUUUUACCAAAAUUGUUGUUAAUGAUCUCAAUAAUUUUUUAUUUUCUUUCUAAAUAAAAUUAUUUUCAUUUAUUUAUUAAUGGAUUAUGGAGAAUAACCAUCCUCUCCCCAUCCUCUUUUUAAAUUGCAUACCAAAAGUUAGAUAGAGAUUCAAAAAGGAUCCAUAAAUGCAAGUGAUGGAAGGAGCAAUUAAUUUGUUUUAUUAUUCACCAUUUUUCAAAUUCCAUUUUCUGUGAAUACCCCUCCUACCUAAAUGACUUUUAAACAAAAACUUUGAUCAUGUUUUCUAUGCUUGUUUUUAAAAAUUAUUUUUAGUGUUUUAUAGAAAUAAAGGUGUUUGACAAAUUAUUUUUUAAACCAGUUUUUAAAAAUAAAAAAUAAAAAUUUUGUUUGAAUAAAUUAUUUAAUUUUUUUUUUAUUUUGUAAAAAUAUUAUAAAUUCAAUUUAUAUAACGUGAAUUAAACAAAAAUCUUUUUAUUACGUUUCCUUCCUUAGGUUAUAUUUGGUUUUCAAAAUUUUGAAGGAAAGAACAUAAAUAAAAAAUAAACUUUGCUGUAGUAAAUUUUCUCUUCCUUUUAAUUAAAAAAAAUAUUAAGAAAUCAAAAUCUUAGCUGGAUCAUUGGAGUCAGCGUGGGACUUCCAGGCUGGCCCGUGUGCAUGCCAUUAUUUAUUUAUUUUUGUAAUUUCAAAGCAUAUUAUUUUUAUUUUCAAUAUUUUAAGACUGGCGCAUUUUUCAAGCUUAAGAUUCUCUUUAUAAUUAUGGACCUAUGGUUGUUGGUUGUAUCAAGAUUAAUUUAAAUGUUAGAUAAGACUUAACACAAUUUACUAGCAAUUUAUUAAAUUUGAUUUGAUAAAAUUAGACAAUAGAAUUAGCCUGUCAUCUUUUUCAUUUUAUAAUUAUGGCCGGCUUGGUUCUUAUAAAUAUGAAGAUUAAAUUAAAAGAUUAGGUAAUGACACCCACUUACAAUUCAUUAAACUCGAUUUAGUAAAACUAGCUUAUAAAAUUAGCUUGACUUUUUUGUUUUUUAUAAUUAUGGUCGACAAGCUUUUUCUCAAUUUGGGAUGACAAUAAGACGAUUUUUUUUUUACCUAUCUCUAAUAAGACAAAUUUGAAAUUUAAAUAAAUCAAUUAGGAGUGGAUUUGAGAAUUUUUUUUAAAAAAACCUAAGGCAAGUUUGGGAUGAGUUUGAGUAUUACCUAGUCCUGCCAACCCUACCUUGAUUAUACAUAAAAUUAAUUUAAUUUAACUUUUAUUUUCCUAUUUUUAAUAAAAUAAGUUAUAAAAAAUUAUAAUAUUUUAAUCAUUUAUAAAAUAUGUUUAUUUUGAUAUAAUUUAAUUUUUUUAAAAAAAUUAUUAUUAUCAUUUUUUUUUAAGUUAAAGCCAAGGUAUAGAAAAUUUGUAUACCCAUCCUGCCCUACCUCAUCCCAUUUAAUUUUUUUAAUAGGACGACUGACGAGUAUGAAAAUUAUUUUGAAUAAAUGAAAUAGGAGUGGAAUGAGUGCAACCCAUCCCCAACUUGCACUGUUGUCUUCUCCAACGUCAAGAUUAAUUUAAUAAAAGAUUAGGUAAGGGAAUCUAGUUUCAACUUAUUAAAUUCAAUUAAUUUAAAAGGUUAGUCAAGCAAAUCCACUUGCAAAAAUUUAAAAUCGAAAUCCACUUCAAAAUAAUAAUGAUGAGCCAUUUUUUUUCUUCUUGCAUUGAAUUUAUUGCUAAUUGGACUUAAAUAUAAAUAAAACUAAUUAAAAUUUAAAUACCACUCAAUAAAUAAUAUAAUAAAAUAUAAUUAUCUAAUUAAAAUUAAUAAAUACUUAAAUUAGGUUGGAGUUAUUUGGCCUCACCCAAAGUUCAAUUCGAGGUGGAUUUUUUAAUCUACGCAUAAUUUAAAUUGUAAAAGAGGCCAUCCAAGUCUUUUCAAAUUCAUUUAAAUUGUAAAAGAGGUCAUCCAAGUCUUUUCAAAUUCUUAUUGAGUUUGAAUUUCGUUAUGUUGAAACUUCCCAAAUUUGAUUACUAAUUUAAUCCAUGAUAAAUUAAAGUGAUGGUUUAAAAGAAUGAAAUAAAAUUUGAACAUUUGUCGAGAGAUGGACCGUCUUUAGUAUUAGUAAUUGGCUUCUGAUAGAUUUGCAAGGAUGUAGCACAACUACAAGGCUUGGUGCGAUGGGGAGUGUCUGGUGGUCAAGAGUGCAUACAUGAUCCCAACUUACUGUUUAAACUAGGCAAAAAAGUUGUCAUAGGAUGAUAUCUAACUGUAAAUUUACCAACAACAAAUAAUUGAUUUCGAAAUUAGGACUCCCAAGGGUGUUCUCGUUGAGUGGUUAUGCAAUAAAUGAGACACCAAAUUCAUUCUAUGGUUUAAAACAUUUGAUUCAAGAGAUGAUCAUUUAUUAUAAUCUUCAAAUGUUGAUACAAUCAAGUUAUAAACAUUUUACCAAGAUACCUAUUAACUUCGGGAAUCUAAUUAACCUUUGAUAUCUUGAUAUUAUUGUUACAAGUCUAUUAGAAGAAAUGUCUUUAGAAAUUGACAAACUAAAAGAUUUGUAAAUACCGUCUAAUAUCAAUCCCGGAUUGGAUGGGGAGAAAGGUUCAUGAUAUAUGUAGUGAGAUUCUCUUAAUUAUUAUGUUGAUGAAUUUUGAGCCGAGUGUUUUGCCCUAGAGACACCAUCUGAAUGGGCCCUUUUGUCCCAAAGACAACAUCUACAUGGAAAGGAGCAGUCGUUAAUUCAAGGAAAAAUCUUUCCACCUGAAUCUAAACUUUUCCAGAUGCUCGCUCUACAGCAGGUUUGGAUAGCCCAACUGAUUGAGUAGCCUAUCCCAAGAAGUCAAAAUAUGAAGUUUUGUUGAUUUGAAUCCAUUAUUUGGUCCUAAGUCGCUGAAUCUUUCUGAAUUUUCCACAGUAAUCAUUCCAAAUAUCCCAAAAUUUUAGUUCAUUUGGCUGAACUGCUAGGGAGUGAUAAUGACAAAAAACUUUAAUUUGAUUUAGGAGGGUCACCUGUAUCUCAAUUCAUAGAUUCUAAAGAAUGGAUUACUUAACAAGAAGCAAACCCAUCAGAAAUGCUUAACCCUCGAAUCUUACUACGAGAAAAUGGAACAUAAACAGCAAUGACCAAACGCUCAUUUUCAGAUAAUCAACGAAGCUAAAACCGAAGAAAAAUCAAACCAAUUCUUGAAAAAACAAAGCAAUAAGAGCUCUUCAAACUAUCAAAUUUCUAUAAACGCAGUAAAAAUAAAUAAAAAAAAUCCACAACUGCAACUAACUAGCUGAAAAGAAUAGUCCUUGAAAUUACCCUUUCAAUGGAUGACUCAGAGGAACGAACAAACCGGACAACUGGGCUGGCCUUGGGGUCAGGGAGGGCAUAGUUGAAGGUGGAAUUGAGGGGUCUAGAGGACUCAACCGGGGGCUUUGAUGGUGGGUUCGAAGACAAGAUGGUUUCAGUAGGAGGAGAUGGUGGCGGCGGCGGCGGUGAUGAUUCAUGAGAUGAUGAGCUCACGGAAGCGAGACAAGGCGAAAAUCGCCUGUGAUUUGUGGGAGGACGAAGACGAGACAGGGAGAGCGACAGUGGAGUGUAGGACAUUGCAGCGAAGAGGGCCAUCGCAGAGGGAACUGAGAGAGGAAAGGACAAAACAAAAUGAAGAAAGCGUGGUGUGAGCCUGUGAGGAGUCUGAGGACUGACAUAGUGACAUAUGAGGUCAAUGUUUUGUGUGUGUGGAGCCCACGGUUGCUCAUCACGCGGGUAAAUUAACGGUCUGGUUUAAUCGCAUAGCUCACAAUUCUGAGUCCGAAAAUCAUUUUAAAUACUUUCUUAUUUAUUAUGCUCGUAUAUAAAAAACAAAAUAUAUCAAUUAUAAAUUUCACAAAUUAAUUUUUUUAACCGUUGAUUUGGUUAAUAAAUAUAUAUAAUAAAAUUAUACUCUUUCUCGUAAUUAUUUCCAUAUAUAUAUAUAUAUUUCUUGGGUCAGAUUUUCUUAAGAUUAAUUUUGAUGAUUAUGGAGCAAAAAAUUAAAUUUUAGGAGGAUUUAUUCUCAGUAGAAAGGAUUACUUGGAGGAUAAUGUUGAAGGUCUAGGAGCCGAAUAAUCUAAGUAUGAGGAGUUUAAGGUUAUGUUUAGUUCCUUAAAGUUAUUAAGGAAAAAAUAAAUAAAUAUUAAGUAAAUAAAAAAUAUUAAAAAAAAUAAAUUUCUUGUAUUUAAUUUUAUAAUAAAAAAAUCAAACAUAAUUAAAAUGGUAAAAAAUUUAUAUAUUUUUAAAUUGUUAAUCCUUAUAUAAUAAAUGAAAAUAAUUAAAAAAAAUUAUUUUAUUUUAUUUUAUUUACUUUCCAUCACUUUUUUCUUUGAAAUAGUGAAUGAAAAAAUAAAAUUAAAGUUAAUAAAUUAAAUUAAUUUAAUUUGUUAUUUCAAACUUAUUUUAAAUUUUUAUAUAAAGAUAAAAUAAUUUAAAAAUGUAUAGAUUUUUAACCAAUUUUAAUUAUAUUUGAUUUUUUUUUAUUUUUCAUAUUAUAACAUAAUAUGAAAAAAUCACUUUCCUCGUUAUUUUUUUCUUUAUUACUUUUUGAAACAAAUAUAACCUAAGAGUAUGUUUGGUUUCUGAAAAUUUAAGAGAAAAUGUUAAGGAAAGAUAAAACAAAAGAAAAUAAAAAAAUAAAUUCAAAGUCAAUAAUUAUUUUAUAUAUUUUUUAAAAUUCAUUUAACUUAUUUUCCUCUAUUAUGUAAAGAUUAAAUAAAUUUAAAAUACAUCAACUUUUAACUAAUUUAAGUAAUACUUGAUUUUCUUUCGUAUUUUCUAUAUUAAAAUUAAAUAGAAUAAAAUCAUUUUUCUCAACAUUUUUUUUGCCUUAGCAUUUUCCUAAAAUCAAAUAAAACAUAAAAGUUUUGAAUUGAAAGCGUAUGUCAUUGUAUAAUUUUAUUGAUUGGUUGGAUCCUUACUAGGGAAUGAAGUCGUUUUUUGUUUUUUGUAUAUAUUUUGUGUGCUUUUUCUAUGCUAUUGAUAUGCGCUUGGAGAUUUUAAUAAUAUAUAUAUAUAUAUAUAUAUAUAUAUAUAUAUAUAUAUAUAUAUAUAUAUAUAUAUAUAUUUAUAUAUUUUUCUUAACUUCUUAUUUUUAUUUUUAAUGUGAAAGCACUUUUAGAUUUAGCAUGCCCAUAUUAUUAGUUGUAAACAAAUGAUAGAAUUGAAAAGAAUGGUUUGGGCUUUGUUCUCAGAAGAAACAAUGAUGGUAUUAUAAGUAGAGAAAAGGCUACAAAUUAUAGAUGGGAGAUCCUCUCAAUUAGAAGAUGUUAUGAGAGGAAGGUAAAAGAAAGAAUGACAAUAACAAAAAAUAGACACCAACCCAAGGCCCACAGCACAAAUAUCCAAGUCCACCACUGAAACACAAAACAAGGGUGAAGGUGAAGACAAGAUGGAAGGCAUUUGGCUUCAAGGGGAGAUAUGAUCUAUUGGCGAACCUAUCAGCUUCCUGAUCGGUUGCUCUAGACUUUCAACAGAAGGAGCAUCUCAUGUCUCUAGACAGCUUCUCUAUCCUUUUCAACCAAUGGUUAUGUCUCCAUAAACAACCCUUCUUUUAUUUGUGGCAGGUCGAUUUUACAUCUCAAACUUGCAUGGCAUAUUGCUGUUGAAUUGAAACCCACUAAAUUUAUUUUGGCAUUAUGGUCAUCCCCCUCUUAUGUGCUAACUUAUUUCAUUUUCUGCCAGGUUUAGCCCUGAAGCUCUAAACUGGCUGUUCAUCAAGGGAUUGGUUGGCUGGUUUUUGCAAGUCUCACUGCUGAAAGUAUCAUUGCUUUCAUUGGAUAGUGGGGAGGCACCUUUUCUGGACAUUGUGGCAUAGCAGCGUACACUUUCACAGGGAUGUGCUUGGCUGUCCUUGGGAGGGAUCAUGUGGAGCAUCUCAUAUUAUUUCUUGAUGCCCUGGGCAUGCCUAUGCAUGGGAAUAUUCUUGGUAAAGACCAUGAAGAGAAUCCUCUUUGCAGAGGUGAGGAGUUAUGUUUCCAGCAAGCAUCACUAUCUCUUGCUCCUUAUUGCUUUGGCUCAGUUCCCACUUUUCAUAUGGCUUGGCAACAUUAGCCUUCAUUAGCUUUUCUGAACUUCAUCUUUUGAUAAAUGUAUCCGGAAACAAUUUGCUUCUGUGGAAGUCUUAAAAUGUUGUAGUUUUGGUCUAUGAUCUCGGCCAAGUGACCAUUCUCCUGGACUAGAAAUAUUCUUUAAACUUAUGCUAAAGCUUAAAUAUGAUUCAAUUGUUCUCCUAGUUAAAACAGAAACCAAGCACUUGGCUUCCUUGUUCAGAAUUAUUUAUCCUUUUUUUCCCAAUUGAUUGGAAAUGAACUAGUUUAGCACUUGUACUUUGACAUGUUCACUUCAAGCAACUGUAGUUAAUAAAACAAUUGAGCAUGAACUGGAGUUGCCGAUGGAAUCCUGAAAGUGGAUGACAUAAAUUACUUGGUGCCUUCUUCUGGUACAUGAUACUCCUGAACUGAAUGUCAGCAUGGUAUUCAUGAAUCAAGUUUCAAAACAAUUGAGCUCAUAUAGAUCUUGCAUAACUGGAAAUCAAAGUGAAUCUCAUGUUGUUUUUGAUGGGUUUAGAAUAAAAUCAAUGACAUCACUAUGGCCUUUGUCAAUGACUUGGUUUUAAACUCUGGUUCAAAACAUCCACUGCAAUGGGAAAAUGACCUUAACAUCCAGUGAUGACUUCGUUUUAGACUCUGGUUCAAAACAUCCACUGCUAUGAGAUAAUGGCCAUAACAUCUGAUGGACCUCAUUUUCCCAGACACACGGAGAUGGAUUAGGUAGGGGUGACUCUGAAUCACUUGCAUUGAGUCUACUUCGUACAAAGUCCCUGAGGUCAGUUGAAGGUAGUCUGGUGAUCAGCUUGAUAAUUCCAAAUACUUGACGCGAGGCUAGAUGCUUGAGGGUAAAUCAAGAGGCACAGCAGUUGUAAAUCGUCUCCCCAUAUGGCAAAACCUAUUCUGUCACAAUGAUAAAAAGGUGUUCAAUUAUGGCAGGUAAUGGAGCUUCAGGCAAUAGGAUGUGAGACAGUGAGAGGUCAAGAUAGAGCAACAUACAUUUCUUGCCCAUGGAAUGAUGCCCAUCCAAUAUAUACAGACUGCAAUUUUUAGCAUAUUGAAGAAAGUUGGCCUCUCAUUAAGGCACUAAGAUCACAUUUAGAAAUCUCAAAGAAUUCUGAGAAUGUGUCGAUGCCUUGCAUCAUUCCAUUUAGAAAUCUGAGUUCCAGAAAGGUGUUAAUGCCGAUGUUCCGAAAUUUUGAGACCGUGUUGCAAUCUAUUCUCCUGCCACAGUAACAAGAUUUCUUUACAAUGAACAGUCAUGAUAAUUUCACAUCUGCUAAUGCUAGCAUAAGCCACAUUGAGAAAACAAUUGAUCCUUGGAUUAUUACCAAUCUCUAAGGAAUUGAAAAAGGCCAGAUGGUCAAGCUCCAAAGUUCUUGACGACAUUCCCAGUUCACCAAUCAACGAUAGUAUCAUACGUGAAACAGAAGACACAAAGUCUGGAACAUUCAAAAUCAAAAGCAUCUGUUUUGAUUAUUUAGCAAGAAAAAUAACAUAAUGGAUCUUAUUUGUAUGUAUAUCAAGUUUAACAACACGCCAUUGCAUGACUCCUUAAUUGGCUUCCAAUAUUCAGAUAAUUCAAAGGCACCAUUAUGUUUAAUUCCGAUAUAAAAGACUGUCAAAGAAGGGGGAUAUAAAUUUGUACGAGAGUUAACAAACCUCUGGUUUUUUGUCAGCAAAAUCUCAUUAACUGGAUUCCUGAAAAACGUAGUAAAAAUAAGUAAACGCUCAUUAGAGUUAAAUUCCAAAUCCAAAGUCAAUAGAAGGUUGUUUAUUGUAGAACCAAACACAAUUACUAAACCUUAUAAUGCAAGAACACAAAAUUGUCCAGAAACACAUUUUCCAUCUUAUCAGAUCCAAUUUAUGGCCUUCCUGCAUUACUGCAUUUUAUAUUUGAAAGGUAAAUCAGACAUUUUUUAUGUGAGUAAUAAGAGAGUAAAUGGCAUAAAAGGCAAACCAUACAAAUGAAGAAGUUGUAAACAUAUAAGAGUGCUUACUGAUCACUGUUGAAUGAUAUUUAAUUGUCUCUCUUUCAAUCUGCAAGAGUUUAUACUCAGUGAAUCACAGUAUGCUACCAAGAAUAAUGCCUCAUUUCCUCGUUGUUGGAAAAAAAUGUAGUGAAAAACAUGUAAGUUGCCAAUAGAAAUAUACUAAUUUAAAAAUAAAGCAUUUCAAAAUACAUAAGGUUUGUACAAGUUGUAACUGACCUGAAAAAAAUCUGUAUGAUAAAGCUCAUUUUAAUGAAUCCUAACAAUGGUUAAAAAGACAUCCAAAAGGAGGAAAGCUGGAUCAGCAUUGCGCAUCCACCUAAAAGGAGUAACAUGAAAUGCAUCAAAAUAAAAUGAGAUGAAAAGAAAAUAGUAGUGCUCAUAAAAAUCCUUUCUGCAAAAUAAUGCAUAAAGACGAGCAAUUCAUCAAUGUAAAACAAAUACAAACUGUUCUUUAUAUAGGUCAUAGUUCCAUCAGAGAGCAAUUUCAAACCAUCACAACAACUGAGCACAAGACUUAAUAACAUGGAUGACAAACCGAUCCUCAGAAGGAACAUAAAGAAAUGUGUGAUUCUCGACUCUCCAAGAGAUGUGUGACUAUUCAGUCUUACUGGCAGCUUCUCCAAGAUAGCACAAAAAAUAGCUUCAUGUCUACUGAAGACAGGUGAACUAAGCAGUGUCCAAGGAUCGGUGCCAAAAUCCUCUCUGUAAGCUAGUGCUUAGGGAACACCUCAAGUCAUAAACAUAGAAAAUUUAGAAAAAAAGUUAGCAAAUAUAGGAAUCUAAAAAAACCAAUAAAAAUGGAAAAUAAAAAUUGUAACUUACCAUGAUCUUGCUAAGCUGUUGUUUAUCCUCUUUCUACACUCUUAACAUCAACAAUAGAAACAAAAACAACAAGUGGCAAUAGGAAUUUGCCACAGUCACUAUAGACAUGGAGCCUCCAAAUAUAAAACCCGAAUCCCCUUCAACAAGAAGAAAAAUACUUAUACUCUGACACCUGGGACAUGCACCUUUUAUACCUGCAAACUCCAAAAGAAGAGAUACGGUUUCAUCAAAUUAAAAAUUUGAGAAACUAAAGCAAAACCGUUUUGUUUCUGCUCAAAUUUGUACAACUAGGCAUAUGUAAAUAUGACAGUAGAUCACAUUUUGGAAACCAAGUGGGAUAUAUUAGAAUAGAUACAAGCUGCUGUUGUUGCUAUGUAAUAAUUCCAUUAGGUAGUUCUGGGCUAUCACAGUCACAGAGAAAAGACCACUUGGGAUAAAUUGAAAACCAGUUCUUGUGAAAGACAAGUUUCAUGCACUGAAUGGUUCCCAACUUUCAAAGGAAAUAAAAGAUCAUACAACCUUAUGAGCGGCUU
This 20244-nucleotide long non-coding RNA is filed under the name Vitis vinifera (wine grape). RNAcentral describes it as "long non-coding RNA (VVIN_LNC004351)". The record is from RNAcentral. Lineage: Eukaryota; Viridiplantae; Streptophyta; Magnoliopsida; Vitales; Vitaceae.